RNAcentral lists this ribosomal RNA (301 nucleotides) under uncultured bacterium. RNAcentral describes it as "partial 16S ribosomal RNA". It matches the Rfam family "Bacterial small subunit ribosomal RNA", at positions 509 to 807 of the family's 1533-position model. The record is from RNAcentral.
CAGUCGCCGCGGUAAUACAGAGGGUGCAAGCGUUAAUCGGAAUUACUGGGCGUAAAGCGCGCGUAGGUGGUUUGUUAAGUUGGAUGUGAAAUCCCCGGGCUCAACCUGGGAACUGCAUCCAAAACUGGCAGGCUAGAGUAGGGCAGAGGGUGGUGGAAUUUCCUGUGUAGCGGUGAAAUGCGUAGAUAUAGGAAGGAACAUCUGUGGCGAAGGCGACUAUCUGGGCCAACACUGACACUGAGGCACGAAAGCGUGGGGAGCAAACAGGAUUAGAUACCCCCGUAGUCCCUGUCUCUUAUAC